This 500-nucleotide ribosomal RNA is filed under the name uncultured Glomeromycotina. RNAcentral describes it as "partial small subunit ribosomal RNA". It matches the Rfam family "Eukaryotic small subunit ribosomal RNA", at positions 591 to 1092 of the family's 1831-position model. Lineage: Eukaryota; Fungi; Glomeromycota. The record is from RNAcentral.
CCAAUAGCGUAUAUUAAAGUUGUUGCAGUUAAAAAGCUCGUAGUUGAAUUUCGGGAUCAAUACGACGGUCGUGCCUUUGGUAUGUACUGGCGUUAUUGAUUUCUCCUUUCUGAUGAACCAUGAUGUCAUUAAUUUGGUGUUGUGGGAAGUCAGGACUGUUACUUUGAAAAAAUUAGAGUGUUUAAAGCAGGCACACGCUUGAAUACAUUAGCAUGGAAUAAUGAAAUAGGACGUUCGAACCUAUUUUGUUGGUUUCUAGGAUCAACGUAAUGAUUAAUAGGGAUAGUUGGGGGCAUUAGUAUUCAAUUGUCAGAGGUGAAAUUCUUGGAUUUAUUGAAGACUAACUACUGCGAAAGCAUUUGCCAAGGAUGUUUUCAUUAAUCAAGAACGAAAGUUAGGGGAUCGAAGGCGAUCAGAUACCGUCGUAGUCUUAACCAUAAACUAUGCCGACUAGGGAUCGGAUGAUGUUAAUUUUUUAAUGACUCAUUCGGCGCCUUACG